AACGCGUAUGCAAUCUACCUUUUACAGAGGGAUAGCCCAGAGAAAUUUGGAUUAAUACCUCAUAGUAUAUCAGCUCGGCAUUAAUAAUUAUUUAAAGUCACAACGGUAAAAGAUGAGCAUGCGUCCCAUUAGCUAGUUGGUAAGGUAACGGCUUACCAAGGCUACGAUGGGUAGGGGUCCUGAGAGGGAGAUCCCCCACACUGGUACUGAGACACGGACCAGACUCCUACGGGAGGCAGCAGUGAGGAAUAUUGGACAAUGGGCGCAAGCCUGAUCCAGCCAUGCCGCGUGCAGGAUGACGGUCCUAUGGAUUGUAAACUGCUUUUAUACGAGAAGAAACACUCCUUCGUGAAGGAGCUUGACGGUAUCGUAAGAAUAAGGAUCGGCUAACUCCGUGCCAGCAGCCGCGGUAAUACGGAGGAUCCAAGCGUUAUCCGGAAUCAUUGGGUUUAAAGGGUCCGUAGGCGGUUUAAUAAGUCAGUGGUGAAAGCCCAUCGCUCAACGGUGGAACGGCCAUUGAUACUGUUAGACUUGAAUUAUUAGGAAGUAACUAGAAUAUGUAGUGUAGCGGUGAAAUGCUUAGAGAUUACAUGGAAUACCAAUUGCGAAGGCAGGUUACUACUAAUUGAUUGACGCUGAUGGACGAAAGCGUGGGUAGCGAACAGGAUUAGAUACCCUGGUAGUCCACGCCGUAAACGAUGGAUACUAGCUGUUGG
Molecule: ribosomal RNA, 716 nt
Filed under: Flavobacterium sp.
Lineage: Bacteria; Pseudomonadati; Bacteroidota; Flavobacteriia; Flavobacteriales; Flavobacteriaceae
Also listed under: 1 other name
Description: bacterial SSU rRNA
Rfam family: Bacterial small subunit ribosomal RNA
Source: RNAcentral